Molecule: ribosomal RNA, 253 nt
Filed under: uncultured bacterium
Lineage: Bacteria
Description: partial 16S ribosomal RNA
Rfam family: Bacterial small subunit ribosomal RNA
Source: RNAcentral
UACGUAGGGUGCGAGCGUUAAUCGGAAUUACUGGGCGUAAAGCGUGCGCAGGCGGCGCGUUAAGACAGGUGUGAAAGCCCCGAGCUUAACUUGGGAAUUGCGCUUGUGACUGGCGUGCUGGAGUGUGGCAGAGGGAGGUGGAAUUCCACGUGUAGCAGUGAAAUGCGUAGAGAUGUGGAGGAACACCGAUGGCGAAGGCAGCCUCCUGGGCCAGCACUGACGCUCAUGCACGGAAGCGUGGGGAGCAAACAGG